Molecule: ribosomal RNA, 494 nt
Filed under: uncultured bacterium
Lineage: Bacteria
Description: partial 16S ribosomal RNA
Rfam family: Bacterial small subunit ribosomal RNA
Source: RNAcentral
GACGAACGCUGGCGGCGUGCCUAAUACAUGCAGGUAGAACGCUGAAGGAGGAGCUUGCUCUUCUGGAUGAGUUGCGAACGGGUGAGUAACGCGUAGGUAACCUGCCUGGUAGCGGGGGAUAACUAUUGGAAACGAUAGCUAAUACCGCAUAACAGUAGAUGUUGCAUGACAUUUACUUAAAAGGUGCAAUUGCAUCACUACCAGAUGGACCUGCGUUAUAUUAGCUAGUUGGUGGGGUAACGGCUCACCAAGGCGACGAUACAUAGCCGACCUGAGAAGGUGAUCGGCCACACUGGGACUGAGACACGGCCCAGACUCCUACGGGAGGCAGCAGUAGGGAAUCUUCGGCAAUGGACAGAAGUCUGACCGAGCAACGCCGCGUGAGUGAAGAAGGUUUUCGGAUCGUAAAGCUCUGUUGUAAGAGAAGAACGAGUGUGAGAGUGGAAAGUUCACACUGUGACGGUAUCUUACCAGAAAGGGACGGCUAACUACGU